UAACACGUUGACCGCUAACAAUAUUAUGAGCUAAGCCCCUGUGACGCAUUUCCACGCGCGAUGCGUGUGUUGCGCAUAUGCGUAGCGACAAAUAGAGUUUCCCAUCAGCUGUGCGGCCAAACACACUAGCGGUGUUGAAUUUUUCGCAACGACAGUGCGCCAACCCACGCCAGCGGUGUUUACGAUGUUCCGUAACGGCAGUGCGCUUCGCCCACGCCAGCGGUGUUCCCAAUAUUCCGUAUCGCCAGUGCGCACAACACACGACGAGCGUAAUUUUAAAACCUUACGAAUAUGCUCAUUUCAAACAGAUGUGUGUUUUUUUUCUUCUCGUUUUCAGGAAUAAAAAGUAUCCCAAUCGAUAAAGCAAAUUAUCAUGAAUAAAAUAUGUUUAGAGAAAAAAUGUCCCAGGGGUCAUAUUUUCCGAGAUAAUUGGACUGGAACAUUUCAAACUAUUCUGAUUUAUUAUAGAUUACAUAGUAUUUUUAUGUAGUAUUCUAGCGAGAAAAUACAGGAAUAUUGAAAAAAAAAUCGAGUCAAUUUAAUAAUUUCUCGUGAUCAUCAAUUUGUGAGUAGUUUUCAAUAUCAGGUAAAUUAAUCUGCUGUAAUUAUUGGAAAGUUAUUUUUUUAUCCCAAAAAAUAUAUUGCUUUCUUAGUAGCUUUACAUCAAUAAGACUGGUUUUUAUUCUUUAUUCUCCAAAUAGAGUAAAGUAACACGUGCGCAUUUCUAAGAAAAUUUUAGAAUUUAUGACAUGUACGCCAUAAAAUACAAUUUGCCGAAAUUUUCUGAGAAAUGAACACGUGUUACUUCGACAAAUUAUAUUUUAUGGCAUAUAUGCCAUAAAAUUGCCAAAAUUUUCUUAGAAUUACACACUAUUUCUUAGAGUUACUUUUUUGUAUGGUUGCACAUUGUUACACCCCCAACGCAUUGUUCAGACACUUCUAACAUCGAACAAAUUGUUUAUCAGUGCGCAAUUUUUAUCCAAAUAUAACAUUAUUUAUACAAUACUAUUAUAGUCUAUCCUUUCAUUUCUUAAAUCAAAUAAAUUUUUACAAAAAUUACAUUUUUGGACAAGCUUUUAUGUUUUCCCCAAGUUCGUGCCAACCGUUUAAAAGUGUUCUUGUUGAGAAUCGACUCUGGUUACAAUCUAAUAUCAAAGUACUCAACCAAGUAAGCCCAAACUCGAUGGGGUUGUGUCGUUUCAUUACGGAGUUCCUAUGGCCACCUUCCAGCUUCAUCAUCAGGCUUUUGGUACCAUAUAGUCUCAAAGCACUCAUAAAGACGAAUCAAACGAGCCCAAACUCGAUGGGGUUGUGUCGUUUCAUUACGGAGUUCCUAUGGCCACCUUCCAGCUUCAUCAUCAGGCUUUUGGUACCAUAUAGUCUCAAAGCACUCAUAAAGACGAAUCAAACGAGCCCAAACUCGAUGGGGUUGUGUCGUUUCAUUACGGAGUUCCUAUGGCCACCUUCUAGCUCCAUCAUCAGGCCCUGGGUACCAUAUAGUCUCAAAGCACUCAUAAAGACGAAUCAAACGAGCCCAAACUCGAUGGGGUUGUGUCGUUUCAUUACGGAGUUCCUAUGGCCACCUUCCAGCUCCAUCAUCAGGCUUUUGGUACCAUAUAGUCUCAAAGCACUCAUAAAGACGAAUCAAACGAGCCCAAACUCGAUGGGGUUGUGUCGUUUCAUUACGGAGUUCCUAUGGCCACCUUCCAGCUCCAUCAUCAGGCUUUUGGUACCAUAUAGUCUCAAAGCACUCAUAAAGACGAAUCAAACGAGCCCAAACUCGAUGGGGUUGUGUCGUUUCAUUACGGAGUUCCUAUGGCCACCUUCCAGCUCCAUCAUCAGGCCCUGGGUACCAUAUAGUCUCAAAGCACUCAUAAAGACGAAUCAAACGAGCCCAAACUCGAUGGGGUUGUGUCGUUUCAUUACGGAGUUCCUAUGGCCACCUUCCAGCUCCAUCAUCAGGCUUUUGGUACCAUAUAGUCUCAAAGCACUCAUAAAGACGAAUCAAACGAGCCCAAACUCGAUGAGGUUGUGUCGUUUCAUUACGGAGUUCCUAUGGCCACCUUCCAGCUCCAUCAUCAGGCCCUGGGUACCAUAUAGUCUCAAAGCACUCAUAAAGACGAAUCAAACGAGCCCAAACUCGAUGGGGUUGUGUCGUUUCAUUACGGAGUUCCUAUGGCCACCUUCUAGCUCCAUCAUCAGGCCCUGGGUACCAUAUAGUCUCAAAGCACUCAUAAAGACGAAUCAAACGAGCCCAAACUCGAUGGGGUUGUGUCGUUUCAUUACGGAGUUCCUAUGGCCACCUUCCAGCUCCAUCAUCAGGCUUUUGGUACCAUAUAGUCUCAAAGCACUCAUAAAGACGAAUCAAACGAGCCCAAACUCGAUGGGGUUGUGUCCUCUCAUUACUGAGUUCCUAUGGCCACCUUCCAGCUCCAUCAACAGAUCAGCUCUUUGUCAUAAUAAUAUUGCAUGGUCAUCCGAUUUAUACAUGCGUGUAAAAUUUCAGCUCAAUCGGAAACCGGACUAACUUGCACGAUUUGAUUACAAACGGGACUGGUGAAAGUAAACAAAAGCUUGUAAAAUACGUUAGUUAGAAGUUGUGGUGUAUGGUUCCGCCCUAUAAUAGCACCACUCCAACCCUCCUGAGGAAAUCAUACUACAGGCGAAAACGGCAGGCAGGCGGCCGGCUUUAUAAUCAUAGUCAAAUCUUAAAAAACAUCCGUCAAAAUGGUUUUUUUUCUAUGUCUAUAGUACUACCAUAACUAAUUUAAUUAAUUAUUUUUCCUAUAUAUGGAGAGAUGCAUGGAAAUCAGGCGACUCGAAAACAUGAGAUCCCUGCACCUCUCAAAAAUUCAUUGGUAAUAAAUAUAAUCAACCUUAAGCCUACUAUUUACAGUUAACUACGAUUACUGCUCAGAGACUAUAUACUUAUUGCACAAACGAAACCAUAGCGCGUUUUAAUUUCGUUCAUCGCCAUCUAUCGCGGACAUUGGAAUAUACUAGCUGUUUAGUCGCAGGUGCAGAAUUAAAAUUUGAACUUAAUUCAUUUAAUUAAUUAUUAGUUCCAUAUUUAAUUAAUUAUAAUUAUAUACAGUAAUUAGGUACAUACUUCAUUUCAGUUUGAAUAACACACCUAAAUUAACAUACAUGCACGUAAAGUUUCAGCAAUCAGAAAGUGGAUCAAAUUUAACUUGCAAGAUUUAAUUACAGACAGACAACGGAACAGGUUGAAAAAUAGUAUAAUAAUAAGCUUGUAAAAUACGUAAGUUGGUUCCGCCCUAUAAUAGGACCACUCUAUAUUCUCCCAUGGAAAUCGUACGACGUGAUUAAGGGACACAAAGCCUUGGCAACUGAUAGGCAGUAACCGAUUUCCCAUGAAGGGUUAACGUCAAGAAGGCGGCCGGUUGUAAAAUCAUAGUCAUCUUCAAAAUUUAGGUUUAUUUUUACGCUGACCGGGAACACGCGAAGAUGUGUGAGUGAAGUCUUUUUGUAUAGGUAGCACAUAGAAGAAAAAAACAUCUUGAAGUAGAGUGUAUAAGUAAUUACUUAUUUUUCCUUUAUAUGGAGAGGUGCAUGGAAAUCAGGUGAUCCCAGAAACGUGAGAUCCCUGCACCUCUCAAAAAUUCAUUAAUAUUUACAACUAUAUACAUUAACUCAGACUCCUGUUUAAAGAGAGUAUAUAUUGUUACACAAACGAAACCAUAGCUAGUUUUAAUUUCGUUCACCGCCAUCUGCCGGGGACAUUGGAAUAUUUAUUUAUUUACUCAAUAUGUUAAGAAAAUAUAUACUAGCUGUUAAUCUAUGAAAUCCUUCGUUUUUUGUUUUAAACUUAAACGCACCACGAUUGCGAAGAAUCUUAUUUGGUCGUAAAUAUUCAACUAUAUUGAAAAUUGGCGCUCUUUGCCACCAUUAGCAUGUUUAUUUACCGAAGUUGUACCAGUAGAUCUGCGCCGAACUUUGCGUAAUAUUGCCUAUUAGGUACAUACUUUAUUUCAUUUUGAAUAACACAAGAAAAUUACACACAUGAUGAUGAACACACGAAAACACAGCGCGUUUUAACUGACUCCAUCUGCUGGGUAUAUUGGAACUUUGUAUUUGUUAAAAAUUAGUGAAAAGGUUCUGCUGCUAAACGAUAGGUGGCGUGACAGUAAAAUAUAAGAAUUGUAGAAAAUUACUAAAUAAAUAUUUACAAGAUCAUCGUCAUCAUUAUCAUUAUGUAUUUUUUUGCAUUUAAAAAACAUUUUCAGUAUUAAAAACAGCAUUUACCGAAAUGAAGAUCCGCACCCCAGUGUACAACCACGAAGUUCCUGUCAAUGUCAUUUUUUUUGAGGGUCGGACGGAUUAUCAAUUCUAUGGAGAUUAUAUAGAGCGCCGCUAUCCAACUUGAUUUGAACAUAUUUGCUACAUGGAUAAAAAAUUCAGAGUAAAAUAAAGUUAACAAAUCUAAAUACAAGCAUGUUCAAAAUGUUAUUAAUCUAAAUUACCUUAUUGUAUAAAAAAUAUCAGAGUAUGAUUGGUUAUAGACUAAGUUUACAUCACCACAUCACUAACUAAGAAGCCUGGUCAUAUGUUCACCACAAACUGUCAAUAUUCGUGUAUCAACGUGUCCCAUUUUUUUUGUCAUAUCAGCGGUCUAGUAGUAGUAGGUCUUCUGUUGUCAGGAUACGUCAAAUACAGAAAGUGCGUGGCUUGGUUUGGUUACUUCUACGCGUGGCUUGGGCAGCGUGAGAUACUUUGUGAAGUAAGUUACUACCUACCUUAUUUUUGAUAUUUAUAACUGAAAGUAGUUAUUCUAUAGUUGUAGUUAUGUGAUGUGUAAAACUUAUUUAGCUGUUUUUUUCCAGACUUGGAAAAGACAACAGAAAGAAAGCAAAUAUGGCUUCCGAGGACGAGAGGUACGUACCUACCUAACCAAAUAUUCUUAUCAAUUUUUAGAAUUACUUAUCUAACAUGAGCUACCUAUCUAUCUAAUAAGAGAUUGUGUUUUCAUGUCUUUCAAGGAUCGAAACAGCAUCAAAACAGGUACCUAUUAUUACAAUGAAAAGCGUGGUUUUGGGGCUCGAUUGUUUUGCUUUUAAAACUUACUACCUACCUAUCUCACGAGUUUCGACUAACUCAUGCACAGAUGCAUUAUAAUAACAAAUAAGUACCUACCUUUUAAAAUAUUGUUUGUGUUAAAACUCACGUUUUGUGCUUUUUGGCAUGACACGAAACUGCUAGCUUGAGAAGGUUGUUUGGGUAUAUGUCUGUGUUCCUCAUUGUGCAUGACCAUCUCAUGCACCAGCUCGAAUGAAAAACCUAGCUAUAUUACCUAUUAAUAAAUUAUUGCAGAACAACAUUAUUGCCAACAAGUGGCGAUGCGGCCACGAGGGCCGGAACGUGGUGGUGGCGCGCGUGGCGGGCUCUAACCGGGGGGCUUUGCCGAAAAUGGAGCACGGCACCCCAAGAGGAGGAGGAUGAUGCGGCCGCGUUUGCGCAGGCAGCGCUGGACUAUCUGGAGGCUGUUGGGCGUAGUCGCCAGCGCCUCUAUAAGCGGCUGCGCCUUCCUGAAGUGGAAAACCUUCCACCCGCCCGGCGCCUGCCACUUACAUCCGCCCAAAUGGCCGAAAUAAACGACCUAUGGUCAAAAACUGUUGCAGCCGCCGAGAGUCGCGUUGCAGCGCGUCUAAAUAAAUUAGGGAGCUCUGUCCACUAAAAUUUUGUCUGGUUAGUUAUCUUUACUAUAAAUUGCAAUCCUAAUUCAUGCACAGUUUGUAAAUCGAUCUAGCUAUUUUCGGGAAUAUGAUGAAUACAGUACAGUACAAUACAGUAUAUAUAUCAUAUCUCCGAACACAGCUGGAUCAAUAUAUAAACUGCAUAAUAAAUUCUUGCAAUUUAUACUAAAGAUAACUAACUAAGAUUAUAAUUCUAGUUAGGACAGAGCUCCCAAAGUUGAUUAUUAAUGAACUUAAAAUUAAAAUAUAUUGAAAAACAAAUUGUCAUUUCUUUUUACUACCCUUUGUUUUCACAUAACUUUGACAUAAACAUCAUGCCAGCUAUACCUCUACACUAUCGCCGAAGUCAUUGCGUAGUUCGUAUGAGAGCUUUUAUAUAUCGCAAGAUGAAAGCAGCAAUGUCCGCCAAAAUCGCCAACUACAUUGUUGGUUUUUCAUUGCAGUAAAUAAAAUCUCUACAAACUAGGCAAUGUUCAUACAAUCGCGUCGCUAUCUGUCCGAUUCGAUGAUAGUGUGAGCCUACAUAUAAUCAUUAGGUAUCUACUAUGCAAAUUGAAAAUUGGCUAGAAGGUUCUGCUGUUAACAAUAGAUGGCGUGGCAGGAAGUUUAGGAAAUUACGUAAAAAAUAUUUUCGAGUCACAAUAAUGAUUAUUAUAACUACUCAACCGAUUUUGAGGAAAUUUGCCACAGAGACAGACGAAACAUCCAGGUGUGACAUAGGCUACUUUUUUAUUUAGAAAAGUUGACCCCAUGGUAAAAUUUGAAAAUUUAUAUGAAAAAAUGUUUUGUACUCUUAACUCCGGAAAUACUGUACGAACUUUAAUAAUUUUAUACUUUAAAACUGGCUUGCUGCAAUUUAUAUCUUGAAGUGUGAAGCUGGCGUAAAAAGUAUAAAUUUAUGAUUUAUUUUAUGUAAAAUUCCAAUCCAAAUAUUUUGCUAAUAAUUCCCUUAGAUGGCGGUGUUACUUUUUGAAACGCGAUAUGGUUUCGUUUUCUCAAGAAGCUAAGUACCUGGUUCACUUACGACUUUUUAACCUUUGUAAAUAUUG
Molecule: RNA transcript, 6763 nt
Organism: Plodia interpunctella (Indianmeal moth)
Lineage: Eukaryota; Metazoa; Arthropoda; Insecta; Lepidoptera; Pyralidae
Exons: 2
Source: RefSeq, a predicted model, not a curated record